Mus pahari (shrew mouse) is the source of this 141-nucleotide small nucleolar RNA. RefSeq annotates it as small nucleolar RNA SNORA48. Lineage: Eukaryota; Metazoa; Chordata; Mammalia; Rodentia; Muridae. The record is from RefSeq and is a predicted model, not a curated record. The transcript has a single exon.
CACCCCUGGCAAUGGGCAAAGAGACAUCUUGUUGGUGCUGAUCUUACAUCAGUCAGAGGCAGAGCAGAUGGCAGUCAUUUGUUCAUCCUAGCUCGAUGCCUGGCUUGGUGGCCACAGCUGUCUUAUGCCUAGGACUCCUAA